Molecule: long non-coding RNA, 365 nt
Organism: Gossypium raimondii (Peruvian cotton)
Lineage: Eukaryota; Viridiplantae; Streptophyta; Magnoliopsida; Malvales; Malvaceae
Exons: 2
Source: RefSeq, a predicted model, not a curated record
AGGGCUGUUUUGAUGAAUGUGAUUAUUAAAUAAGUUAAAUUUACUAUUUUAGAUCAAGAAGUAUGAAACUCGAGGUUAGACAAAGGGAAGAAUAAAGUUGAAGACUAAGUUGGUGAAUUUGGCUAUAAUUGGUACCGAGUAUUGCAAAGCUACUUCAAGGAUCCUAAAGAAGUCGGAGAUCGUCCACACUAUCAACUACAACUGCUCGGUAUUUUAUAUCGAAACACGUUUGAGUUAUGGCAUGUAUAGGGAUUUAGUUAUUUUGUAUGUUUGUAAUGAUGAUUUUGCUAAUGAGUGAUGUGUAAGUAUUUGAUGAUGUAUGGUCAUUAAAAUGGUUAAGGAUGAAGGUGUUUGUUGUUAUGAAA